ACCCGAAGACGGCCCGGCUCUACACGGACCUGGGUCUGCUCACGGCCGACCCGGAGGUCGGCCAGGACCUGACGCGGCUGUUCAACCAGCUCUCCGGGUAC
This 101-nucleotide transfer RNA is filed under the name Cellulomonas chitinilytica. RNAcentral describes it as "tRNA-Val". RNAcentral also lists the same sequence under 1 other name. Lineage: Bacteria; Bacillati; Actinomycetota; Actinomycetes; Micrococcales; Cellulomonadaceae. The record is from RNAcentral.